This 100-nucleotide small RNA is filed under the name Durinskia baltica. RNAcentral's name for it is "partial Betaproteobacteria transfer-messenger RNA". Lineage: Eukaryota; Dinophyceae; Peridiniales; Kryptoperidiniaceae. The record is from RNAcentral.
AUAGCACUGGUGGCAGGGGCACUGGCCGCCGUCGUGGCUAGUUUGGGAUUGACACCCCUUGAAGCAGCUCGGAUCCGGGUCGUAGCAGAUCCACAACAAU